GACGUAGGAGGCGAGCGUUAUCCGGAUUCACUGGGCGUAAAGCGCAUGUAGGCGGUUCGAUAAGUCCGGUGUUAAAGCCCCUGGCUCAACUGGGGGAGGUCAUUGGAGACUAUAGGACUUGAGGGCAACAGAGGCACGUGGAACUCCCGGUGUAGUGGUGGAAUGCGUAGAGAUCGGGAAGAACACCAGUGGCGAAGGCGACGUGCUGGGUUGCAACUGACGCUGAGAUGCGAAAGUGUGGGGAGCAAACGGG
RNAcentral lists this ribosomal RNA (253 nucleotides) under uncultured bacterium. RNAcentral's name for it is "partial 16S ribosomal RNA". It matches the Rfam family "Bacterial small subunit ribosomal RNA", at positions 524 to 776 of the family's 1533-position model. The record is from RNAcentral.